This 253-nucleotide ribosomal RNA is filed under the name uncultured bacterium. RNAcentral's name for it is "partial 16S ribosomal RNA". It matches the Rfam family "Bacterial small subunit ribosomal RNA", at positions 524 to 776 of the family's 1533-position model. The record is from RNAcentral.
UACGGGGGGGGCAAGCGUUGUUCGGAAUUACUGGGCGUAAAGGGCUCGUAGGUGGCCAACUAAGUCAGACGUGAAAUCCCCGGGCUCAACCCGGGAACUGCGUCCGAUACUGGCAGGCUUGAAUCCGGGAGAGGGAUGUGGAAUUCCAGGUGUAGCGGUGAAAUGCGUAGAUAUCUGGAGGAACACCGGUGGCGAAGGCGGCAUCCUGGACCGGCAUUGACGCUGAGGCGCGAAAGCCAGGGGAGCAAACGGG